GUUGACAGCCAUUUUCAAAAUGUCCCCUACACGCAAAUUGAGGACGAAAGAUCGUUAAAAGGAAAACAAAAUUUUGUGUUAUAUUGAUCAAUUACUGAUCUAUAUAUUUUGCAUUUUUAUGAAUUCAAAUAAACAUGAAAUAAACAUUGGAAAAUAACUUUUAUAACCUAUAAGUAUCAUUAGAAGAUCUUGUAGGAAUAAUGUCUACGAAAAAACAAAAUGUAAAGAUUUGUUGUUUCUGUGGUCUUGCAGAAGACAAUGAAUUUGAGUUUGGAAAAUUUUAUGAAUAUCGUGGUAUUGUUACACAUUAUUAUUGUUUGUUAUUAUCAUCCAACAUGGAACAAAAAGGUAGAGACAAUGAAGGUAUUUUAGGAUUUCUAUUAGGAGAUAUACAAAAAGAGUUGCGUAGAGGAAAAAGAUUGGUAUGCUUUUACUGUAAAAAAUCUGGUGCCACAUUAGGUUGUUGUAAUACAAAAUGUAAACGAAUAUUCCAUUUUCCUUGUGGCUUAAAAGCUGGAACUCUUCAUCAAUUUUUUGGUGAAUUUAGGUCGUAUUGUAUAAAUCAUAGGCCCAAACAAAAAUUUAGCGUUUAUACAAAAGAAUUAAUUAAGGAAAAAAUAGAUGUAAUAUGUUAUAUUUGUUAUGAUAAGGUAAACAUUAAGAAUUUAAUUGAUGUAUUAUGGACACCUUGCUGUAAAAAAGAUGCUUGGUUUCAUAAAAAAUGUGUUCAGCAACUUGCUUCUAAUGCAGGUUAUUUUUUUAAGUGUCCACUAUGUAAUAACAAAAAGGAAUUCCAAAAAGCAAUGCUAGAACAGGGUAUUUUUAUUCCAAGCCAGGAUGCAUCUUGGGAGCUUGAACCAAAUGCAUUUCAUGAACUUUUAUACAGACACAACCGUUGUGAUGCUGUGACAUGUUUAUGUCCAAAAGGCAGAAAUCACACAAGCAUAAAUGCAAAAUGGGAAUUGGCAUUAUGUCGAACAUGUGGUUCUCAAGGAAUUCAUAUGGCAUGUGGUCAACUAAAAUGGGCCAAACCUAUUUGGAAUUGUGAUGAAUGCAUAUCUAUAUUAGAUAAAGUAAAUCACUCGUCAAAUAAAGUAUCAGAAACUGUAAAUAUUACUUAUCAUGGUACGGACACAGAUGCCAGCGAUUCAGAAAUUUCUGUGUGUGAAUCACAAAAUAAGGAUGAUUUUUCUAUAGUGUCAUAUUCACCUUCAAGUGCAACAUCUCAAACUUUUGAACAAAAUCCAACUAACAUUUCAACAAAGAAUAUAUCUGAAAAUAACUGUAGUAGUUCUAAUCAAAAUAUGUUUACAAUAUCAUCAGUAAAUUCACCAGAGAAAAGUUCAAAUAUUACUUUAAACCGAUCAGAAAAUAAAAAUAUAUCACUAAUUGAUCAAAAUAAAACUAUAAUACAAACAAAUCAAGAAAAAGGACAAACGGAUUUAAAAGAAACUAUUAACAGAUUAUUAACAGAUGAAAAACGAAGUAUAUUAAACAAAAGUCAAGACAAAAACUUACAAAGUGAAGAAGAAUCGAUUUCUAGGGAUAAAAAGGUUGACUUGAUCAUGAUUGAUAGUGAUGAAGAUGAUAUUGAAAUUAUAAGUAAUUUAAAAAAGUCAGACAUAAAAGGUCAAACUUUAAUGAACAUGGAUCUUCCUAACUGUGAUAUAAAUACAAAAAAUAAAAAUCCGGAUCAAUUAAUAAAUAUUUCAUGUAGUUCAUCAUAUAUACCUGAAACAUAUAAUAAUCAAAUGAAAACAAACAGAAAAACUUCAGAUAACUUAAACAAAAGAAAAGAUUGUGAAAUUGUAACUGUAAAUAAUGUAAAAGAUAAUAUGUUUUCAGAAAAUGAAAAUCAUGAAGACGUAGAUAACUCACCUGUUAUGAACAUCAAAAUUACUAAUGUAACAUCUUUAUCACCUGAAGUUUUUGCGAGUGUACCUAGUCUGGAAAGAUUGGAUAAUCAUAAAGUAUUACAAUUAAAUACUAAACCUUCAAUGAGUUUAAAUAAUUUUGAAAAUUUACAAACUGAAGAUAGAAGACUAUCAUUUUCGAAAUAUCAAUCUAAUGAGACAAAAACAAGCUCAAAGAGAAAACAUGAAACAAAUAUAUGUGUAAUUGGUACUCACACAAAUGGAGUACAAUCUGUGACCAUAACUAACAUAACACCUAAAAAAGUAAGAACAAGUUAUUUAGAAGAAAAUAUGGAAGCUUCAUGUAGUAGUACUACCUAUAAUGAAGUUAAGCAGCAAAUUGCUAACCAGAAUAAUAUAAAACCAUCACAAAAAUACGUUAACGAUAGGAAUUAUCAAUCGGAUUUGGAUAUUUUUAAUUUAAAUAAUUAUAGAAAAAAUAAAAUUUCUUGUCCAAGCAGUACUACAGAGGUAUUUACUCCAACGCUGGAAUUAUCAAAUCACAAUAUAGCAGAAAGCCAAGUUAAAAGUGCUCCUUCAUGGGCUUCUGAUGCUAGUACUACUAUUAAUAAAGAUGUAAUUAUUACUCGUAUUCGAAAUAAUAGUACACAUCAGUCGUCGAAUACAAAACAAAAUUUCACUAAAAGAAAAACGACAUCAUCUAAAAAUUCGGAUAGUUCUGAAAUUAAUAACGAAAUACAAUCUACCUUGAAACAGUGUAUGUCUUGGGGUUCUAACAGUUUGACGGAGAUGCAGGCACCAGUUUUACCAACGAGUCAACAGACGAUUGUAUCCAAAGAAAUGACGACCGGAUUAAUCCAAAAAGAGCAUCGAUUAACAAAAGAAGUUUAUUACAGUGUAUUGACUCCAGAGAAAAUGGCUGCAAGAAACAUCUCAACUUCAAUUCGUUUUCCGAAAUCGCAAGUAAUCCUAACGCCUGUGAUAAACCUAGAUUGAUACCAGAAUCUGUACAAUUACAAGAUCUUAAAUUUAAAGUUAAAGAUUCUAAUAGCGUACAGAUGAUCUUAUAUGAUACGUUUUCUGUAAAUAUCCAUAUGAAUACUGCUAUGAAGAAUCACGUAAGGAAUUCGGCCGCAUCCGUAGGAGU
Molecule: unclassified non-coding RNA, 3021 nt
Filed under: Polistes dominula (European paper wasp)
Lineage: Eukaryota; Metazoa; Arthropoda; Insecta; Hymenoptera; Vespidae
Description: gATA zinc finger domain-containing protein 14-like, transcript variant X2
Source: RNAcentral